Small nuclear RNA from Peromyscus leucopus (white-footed mouse), 102 nucleotides. NCBI's taxonomy places the organism in Eukaryota, Metazoa, Chordata, Mammalia, Rodentia, Cricetidae. The record is from RefSeq and is a predicted model, not a curated record.
CGGUCCUCAGCUCUGAAAAAAAAAAAUUGGAACAAUAUGGAGAAGAUUAGCAUGGCCCUGUGAAAGGGUGACACAAAAGUUCAGGAAGCAUUCCAUAUUUAA